AACGAACGCUGGCGGCAUGCCUAACACAUGCAAGUCGAACGAGACCUUCGGGUCUAGUGGCGCACGGGUGCGUAACGCGUGGGAACCUGCCCUUAGGUUCGGAAUAACUCCCCGAAAGGGGUGCUAAUACCGGAUAAUGUCUUCGGACCAAAGAUUUAUCGCCUUUGGAUGGGCCCGCGUUGGAUUAGCUAGUUGGUAGGGUAAAAGCCUACCAAGGCGACGAUCCAUAGCUGGUCUGAGAGGAUGAUCAGCCACACUGGGACUGAGACACGGCCCAGACUCCUACGGGAGGCAGCAGUGGGGAAUGUUGGACAGUGGGCGAAAGCCUGAUCCAGCAAUGCCGCGUGAGUGAUGAAGGCCUUAGAGUUGUAAAGCUCUUUUACCCGGGAUGAUAAUGACAGUACCGAAAGAAUAAGCUCCGGCUAACUCCGUG
This 433-nucleotide ribosomal RNA is filed under the name uncultured bacterium. RNAcentral describes it as "partial 16S ribosomal RNA". It matches the Rfam family "Bacterial small subunit ribosomal RNA", at positions 29 to 507 of the family's 1533-position model. The record is from RNAcentral.